AUGAAGAAAGCCAAAACCAAUCCUUCUGCAGAAGACAGGAUGCAUGCAACCAUAAUGGCUUCAAGUGAAAGGCUUGCUGUUGCCAUAGAGAAACUUAUUAGCAGCGCCAACCCCGCCAUUGAUGGUCUUUGGGAUGAGAUGAAAGAACUCCCUGGUUUUGAUUUGGAUUCCCUUGCACAUUACUAUGCCUAUUUGGUUGACAAUCCUCGUGUUGCAACAGCAUUCAAGGUCUUGGGAGAUGUCCAGAGAAAGGUUUGGGUCUCUAGGUAUGUGAAGAGUACCUUCCCUGAAGCCGACGCAUGA
RNAcentral lists this ribosomal RNA (303 nucleotides) under Triticum aestivum (bread wheat). RNAcentral's name for it is "partial small subunit ribosomal RNA". Lineage: Eukaryota; Viridiplantae; Streptophyta; Magnoliopsida; Poales; Poaceae. The record is from RNAcentral.